AGUGAACGCUGGCGGUAGGCCUAACACAUGCCAGUCGAACGGCAGCACAGUAAGAGCUUGCUCUUACGGGUGGCGAGUGGCGGACGGGUGAGGAAUACAUCGGAAUCUACUUUUUCGUGGGGGAUAACGUAGGGAAACUUACGCUAAUACCGCAUACGACCUACGGGUGAAAGCAGGGGAUCUUCGGACCUUGCGCGAUUGAAUGAGCCGAUGUCGGAUUAGCUAGUUGGCGGGGUAAAGGCCCACCAAGGCGACGAUCCGUAGCUGGUCUGAGAGGAUGAUCAGCCACACUGGAACUGAGACACGGUCCAGACUCCCACGGGAGGCAGCAGUGGGGAAUAUUGGACAAUGGGCGCAAGCCUGAUCCAGCCAUACCGCGUGGGUGAAGAAGGCCUUCGGGUUGUAAAGCCCUUUUGUUGGGAAAGAAAAGCAGCAGGUUAAUACCCCGCUGUUCUGACGGUACCCAAAGAAUAAGCACCGGCUAACUUCGUG
RNAcentral lists this ribosomal RNA (492 nucleotides) under uncultured bacterium. RNAcentral's name for it is "partial 16S ribosomal RNA". It matches the Rfam family "Bacterial small subunit ribosomal RNA", at positions 29 to 507 of the family's 1533-position model. The record is from RNAcentral.